CGAUUAACCUGCCCUUAAACUCUGGGAUAAGCCUGGGAAACUGGGUCUAAUACCGGAUAUGACUCCUCAUCGCAUGGUGGGGGGUGGAAAGCUUUAUUGUGGUUUUGGAUGGACUCGCGGCCUAUCAGCUUGUUGGUGAGGUAAUGGCUUACCAAGGCGACGACGGGUAGCCGGCCUGAGAGGGUGACCGGCCACACUGGGACUGAGACACGGCCCAGACCUCCGUACGGGAGGCAG
Molecule: ribosomal RNA, 237 nt
Filed under: uncultured bacterium
Lineage: Bacteria
Description: partial 16S ribosomal RNA
Rfam family: Bacterial small subunit ribosomal RNA
Source: RNAcentral